AUUAAUAUUAAUUAAAUAUUGCAAAAUACAAAUAUAGGAUUACAGAACCAGCAAAUACUCUAGUGAGAGAGAGAGGGACAUAUUGUCAAGCCUAGUACCAGACAUGAACAUUAAUAAACUUUCCUGGCACGUGGAAUUGCCAAUUGAACCUACUACUCAUUAAUUCUAGUAAUUCAAUUUCAACCCAAAAACAUCACUUUCUCAGUCGUUGUCGCUGUCCCUAUUUGUUAUGCUGCAGCUACUAUUUUCCUUUGAAUUAAUCAUCGAAUAUCUUGAGAUCUUGAUAAUUACAUGUUAA
RNAcentral lists this unclassified non-coding RNA (298 nucleotides) under Hevea brasiliensis (rubber tree). The record is from RNAcentral. Lineage: Eukaryota; Viridiplantae; Streptophyta; Magnoliopsida; Malpighiales; Euphorbiaceae.